GGCCGGCUGGCGCAAUGGCUAGCGCGUCGACCUUCUAGACACACAUGUUUAGUUUCAGUCGAAGGUUGCGGGUUCGAGUCCCGCGUUGGCCU
Violaceomyces palustris is the source of this 92-nucleotide non-coding RNA. The record is from the annotation of a GenBank genome assembly. NCBI's taxonomy places the organism in Eukaryota, Fungi, Basidiomycota, Ustilaginomycetes, Violaceomycetales, Violaceomycetaceae.